RNAcentral lists this ribosomal RNA (1097 nucleotides) under fungal endophyte. Its description in RNAcentral is "eukaryotic LSU rRNA". The stretch from base 509 to 1097 matches the Rfam family "Eukaryotic large subunit ribosomal RNA", at positions 1 to 601 of the family's 3401-position model. Lineage: Eukaryota; Fungi. The record is from RNAcentral.
GAGGGAUCAUUACUGAGUUAAAGUGGAUUUAUUCACUAACUCCCACCCUUUUGUAUGUCUUAUCCUUGUUUUCUCGGGGAGAUGAGGUUUUUGAGGUCUAACGACUUCAACGAUACUCACCCCGGUGAAUCAAUUAUACUCUGUUUUAAUUAUCAGUCUGAAUAAACAAGUUUUAAUACUUAAACAAAACUUUCAACAACGGAUCUCUUGGUUCUGGCAUCGAUGAAGAACGCAGCGAAAUGCGAUAAGUAAUGUGAAUUGCAGAAUUUUGUGAAUCAUCGAAUCUUUGAACGCACAUUGCGCCCCUUGGUAUUCCGGGGGGCAUGCCUGUUCGAGCGUCAUUACACCAAUCAAGUCUCACUUGGUAUUGAAGGAUGUGAUUUAUCUACUGAAUUGCACCUUUUGAAUUCUUCCGGCUGGUUUUAUUGAAUACCCAAAGCGUUGUGGAAACUAUUCGCUAUAUGGAUAAUCAUUGAUUCACGCCGUUAAUCAAAUUCUUAUCAAAGGUUGACCUCGGAUCAGGUAGGAAUACCCGCUGAACUUAAGCAUAUCAAUAAGCGGAGGAAAAGAAACCAACAGGGAUUGCCUCAGUAACGGCGAGUGAAGCGGCAACAGCUCAAAUUUGAAAUCUAACGUCUUUGGCGUUCGAGUUGUAAUUUGUAGAGGAUGCUUCUAGGCAGCGGUCGGUCUAAGUUCCUUGGAACAGGACGUCAUAGAGGGUGAGAAUCCCGUAUGUGAUUGACUUGCACCUUACACGUAGCUCCUUCGACGAGUCGAGUUGUUUGGGAAUGCAGCUCUAAAUGGGAGGUAAAUUUCUUCUAAAGCUAAAUAUCUGCCAGAGACCGAUAGCGCACAAGUAGAGUGAUCGAAAGAUGAAAAGCACUUUGGAAAGAGAGUUAAAAAGCACGUGAAAUUGUUGAAAGGGAAGCGUUUGCAACCAGACUUGUCUGCGGUGUUCAACCGGUCUUUUGGCUGGUCUACUCAUCGUAAGCAGGCCAACAUCAUUUGGAGUCGUGGGAUAAUAGUUUUGGAAUGUAGCUCCCUCGGGAGUGUUAUAGCCAAUUCUGAUGCCAUGAAUUCCGAAUGAGGUCCGCGCA